Molecule: ribosomal RNA, 492 nt
Filed under: uncultured bacterium
Lineage: Bacteria
Description: partial 16S ribosomal RNA
Rfam family: Bacterial small subunit ribosomal RNA
Source: RNAcentral
AGUGAACGCUGGCGGUAGGCCUAACACAUGCAAGUCGAACGGCAGCACAGUAAGAGCUUGCUCUUACGGGUGGCGAGUGGCGGACGGGUGAGGAAUACAUCGGAAUCUACUUUUUCGUGGGGGAUAACGUAGGGAAGCUUACGCUAAUACCGCAUACGACCUACGGGUGAAAGCAGGGGAUCUUCGGACCUUGCGCGAUUGAAUGAGCCGAUGUCGGAUUAGCUAGUUGGCGGGGUAAAGGCCCACCAAGGCGACGAUCCGUAGCUGGUCUGAGAGGAUGAUCAGCCACACUGGAACUGAGACACGGUCCAGACUCCUACGGGAGGCAGCAGUGGGGAAUAGUGGACAAUGGGCGCAAGCCUGAUCCAGCCAUACCGCGUGGGUGAAGAAGGCCUUCGGGUUGUAAAGCCCUUUUGUUGGGAAAGAAAAGCAGCAGGUUAAUACCCCGCUGUUCUGACGGUACCCAAAGAAUAAGCACCGGCUAACUUCGUG